GUGUUUUGUAAUUGCCCUGACAAUGUAAGGAAUGAUAUUUGUGAGGGUGAGUCAACAACACCUUCCCUGUUGGUAUUCUGCCCUCUAAUAACCCGGCGGGCUGGAUCCCCAGCACCUGGAAGGAGUCAUCAUGGAACGUUAAUAAGGAGGAAGGCUGGUGCUGGCGCCUGGAACGCUUCAGAGACAGAAAGCAGUGACUAGGCCAGACAGGCCCCUUGUUUCUGCGCUUUGAGAUAGAAGUGAGAAAUGGAAAAUAGUCUCUUUAUCUUCUCAGCAAAUACAGCCUAUGCUCAGAAUGUCUCCGACUUCCCAUCUCUGAGAUGCCAGCUGCCCAGUUCCAUGGAAUCAUGGCAAGCGAGAAACUGUCGUUCAUAAGAGUUCAAGAAAAUGAAUAUUCUCUCAACUCCGUGAGGGCCAGUGGGUUCCAGGGUACUCAACUUGCUGGAGUCAUCUCUGCUAUGGCUUUAUUUGCGAACAACAGAGAACUUGCUCUGCAGCAGCCGCAGGCUCUCUGGGGACCCCACAGGCUGUGCAGAUCCCCCACCCCAGAACCACAGAAAGAGACGGAGCAGGAGCACACCCCGUCUCCCAGGCCCAGGACAGCUGCUGAGCUCCAGAACACGGACUCUUGAAGGUUGAUUUUGACUACCUACUAAGCUCCAGCUGAACCAGUUCCACUUCUUUAACCUUCCCAUGAUCCCUGUGAGGGGUCCGUGGUGUUGCUAUUUGCAGGUGAAGAAAGUGAGAUUGAGGGAGGCUGAAAGACCUGGCCCCAAGUCACAGUGCCCCGCUGAAUAUGGUGCUGCCUACUGGAUAUCCUGGGUGCUUCAACAUCAGCAGCUCUCGGCAAGUGAGUGGGCCAUGGACAAGGGACAUGGGGGAGCAAGCCCAGCUGCACGGUUCCAGCUCUUUCCGCCACAUCACAGCUUCUGCAGUUGGAAAGCCAGAACAGUGAUCUUCAGUUUGUUCAUCAAAGGGCCAAGAAAUCUGUGUCCCCACCUUCUCUGCUUCAAUUCUGGUGCUGCUUAAGCCAAUUAUCAUUUCAUGCCCUAAACCAAAAAAUAAACUCUACAAACAUCAACAUUACAUAGGACAGGAUCUGGCCCACAGAUUGGGGGCAGGAGCUGCUUUUUCAAUGAGAAGAAUGAACAGACCUAGUAGGCAUUGCCUUUAGACCCAGGUAAGAGGAAUCCCAGCCUUGGGACAGCACUUUCAAGGGCUAAGCCCAUAAGCCAUCCUUCUAGAACAUUCUCUGGGUAGCUAGGGCUUCAUAAUUCACUUGCUGGGUUUGUCCUCCCUGAGUGGACUGUGUUGUUGGUGUGCACACCUGUAUUUCCAUGGAAUGGUAUCUUAGUCCUGCUGCUAUAACAGAAUGCCUGAGACUGAAAAUGUAUAAACAAUAGACAUUUAUUUCUCACAGUUCUGGAGGCUGGGAAAUCAAGAUCGAGGCACCAGCUGGUUUGGUGUCUGGCGAGGGCUGCUCUCUGCUUCCAAAAUGGUGCCUUGGGGCUGUGCGUGAUGGCUCAUACCUAUAAUCCCAGCACUUUGGGAGGCCGAGGUGGGCAGAUCACCUGAGGUCAGGAGGUUGAGACCAGCCUGGCCAACAUGGUGAAAACCCCAUCCCUACUAAAAAUACAAAAAAUUAGCCGGGCGUGGUGUUGCAUGCCUGUAAUUCCAGCUACUUGGGAGGCUGAGGCAAGAGAAUUGCUUGAACCCGGGAGGCAGAAUUUGCAGUGAGCCAAGAUUGCACCACUGCACUCUAGCCUGAGUGACAGAGCGAGACUCUGUCUCAAAAGACAAACAAAAAACCAAAAUGGUGCCUCAUUGCUGGAUAUUCCAAAGAGGAUGAAUGUAUGUUCUCGAAUGACAGAAAAGACAGAAGGGCAGAAAGUGUCCAAACUCACUCCAUCAAUCCCUUUUAUAAGGUGCUAAUCACUCCCUAAAUGCCCCAUCUCUUAUUACUGUUGCACUGGGGAUUCAGUUUCAGCAUGAGUUUUGGAGGGAUACAGACAUUCAAACCACAGCAUUGUGCACACUCCUUUUUCUAUGGAAUGGCCAAGGCGCGGCUAUUUGCAGAGGCUCUGACAGAGCUCUGCUGUGGAGCUGGGGUGUCCACGUGCCUGUAUGGAAGAACUUCCAUGGCACCGGAGCCUGGUGGGAAGAGAAGUGGGCUGGGCUAUAGGCUGGGCACCAGGGACUAUCACCUCGUGCCACCACAUUUAGUGUGGAGUUCCAGAGAGGCCACAAAUUCUUCAUUUGAACUGGACUCCCCAGCCUCGUGUUCCUCUGCAGGAUGUAAAAGGUAAUGCCAGCAGACAGUGGCAGUGCUGGAGGCGCCUGGCGGGCAGAGGUUACCUGGCUGGAGUGGCAGGCGUGAGGAGAUGCCUCCCAGCAUAAGGAAUGUGGGCUUCUGUUGGAUCUCUUGUUCCAGGCCCCACACAUGUUCGAGGCAGCCUGGGUAUGUCUUGGCCCGCUCAAUCCCUCAGAGCCCUGUUUAAUUCUCAGCUUGCUGUCACCUAUGUGGUGCCAAGAAACAAGUCACCAAAAUAAUGAAAUGCCUACCUAAGCUUAAAAACAAAACCAUGAGGUCUUUCUAAAUAAAUUAUGAUGAAGUGCAAACUGCAGCUCCCUGUAAUGAUUUCAAAGACUCCGUUCCAAGAAUGCAUUAAUUUAAAAAGGGAGUAUAAGGCAAAGGGGGGUGAUUAGAAGAGGAAGGCAGCUGACAUCAAACUGAAUAUGCCAAGUUUCCUCCUCAAAAACAAGUGUGCAUUAUGUGUGGUGACCAUUCUUGGUAUUGUUCUGUUGCUGUAAAGCACAGCAUAGCAUCAUUCUUUUAGAUGCCAUUCAUUUAAUAUGUGGGUAAAUGUACAUGGUUAGGCUAGACUGGAGCGCUCGUCUACACUGCUUAAAAGAAAAGAUUUACUAAGAAAAUUCAAAGGACAAACAAGGUGCAAAGGGAAUGUUAGGUUUAAUUAAGAAAUCAGCUCUUUAAAGGGCUUAACCAGAAUAAUUGUUGGUAUGCAGAUGGGGUUGUGAAUUAUAAAUGACUCAUCCAUUCUUUGAAGGAUGAUCUCUUCUUGGAAAAGGUUCUCUUCUUGGAAAGACUUGGGGAGCAUUUUAAGUUUUUGAAGGCCAGGCGUGGUGGCUUAUGCCUGUAAU
Long non-coding RNA from Nomascus leucogenys (northern white-cheeked gibbon), 3159 nucleotides. RefSeq lists it as uncharacterized. The transcript has 3 exons. The record is from RefSeq and is a predicted model, not a curated record. NCBI's taxonomy places the organism in Eukaryota, Metazoa, Chordata, Mammalia, Primates, Hylobatidae.